CUGCCUCCCGUAGGAGUCUGGACCGUGUCUCAGUUCCAGUGUGACUGAUCAUCCUCUCAGACCAGUUACGGAUCGUCGCCUUGGUAGGCCUUUACCCCACCAACUAGCUAAUCCGACCUAGGCUCAUCUGAUAGCGUGAGGUCCGAAGAUCCCCCACUUUCUCCCUCAGGACGUAUGCGGUAUUAGCGCCCGUUUCCGGACGUUAUCCCCCACUACCAGGCAGAUUCCUAGGCAUUACUCACCCGUCCGCCGCUGAAUCCAGGAGCAAGCUCCCUUCAUCCGCUCGACUUGCAUGUGUUAGGCCUGCCGCCAGCGUUCAAUCUGAGCCAGGAUCAAACCCUC
RNAcentral lists this ribosomal RNA (342 nucleotides) under uncultured bacterium. Its description in RNAcentral is "partial 16S ribosomal RNA". The record is from RNAcentral.